AAAUGCAAGUUUGAGGCCAUAGCAGAAGCGUUCACAGUGUGGCCCUGUCAGAUUCAACAAAUUUGCCAAUUCUGUU
This 76-nucleotide ribozyme is filed under the name Crocodylus porosus (Australian saltwater crocodile). RNAcentral's name for it is "Mammalian CPEB3 ribozyme (ENSCPRG00005011969.1)". It matches the Rfam family "Mammalian CPEB3 ribozyme". Rfam says of the family: The mammalian CPEB3 ribozyme is a self cleaving RNA located in the second intron of the CPEB3 gene which belongs to a family of genes regulating messenger RNA polyadenylation. This ribozyme is highly conserved and found only in mammals. There is currently only one other known self cleaving ribozyme in mammals, the CoTC motif. The record is from Rfam by way of RNAcentral. Lineage: Eukaryota; Metazoa; Chordata; Crocodylia; Crocodylidae.